RNAcentral lists this ribosomal RNA (486 nucleotides) under uncultured bacterium. RNAcentral's name for it is "partial 16S ribosomal RNA". It matches the Rfam family "Bacterial small subunit ribosomal RNA", at positions 29 to 507 of the family's 1533-position model. The record is from RNAcentral.
AUUGAACGCUGGCGGCAUGCCUUACACAUGCAAGUCGAACGGCAGCACGGGUGCUUGCACCUGGUGGCGAGUGGCGAACGGGUGAGUAAUACAUCGGAACAUGUCCUGUAGUGGGGGAUAGACCGGCGAAAGCCGGAUUAAUACCGCAUACGAUCUACGGAUGAAAGCGGGGGACCUUCGGGCCUCGCGCUAUAGGGUUGGCCGAUGGCUGAUGAGCUAGUUGGGGGGGUAAAGGCCUACCCAGGCGACGAUCAGUAGAUGGUCUGAGAGGACGACCAGCCACACUGGGACUGAGACACGGACCAGACUCCUAAGGGAGGCAGCAGUGGGGAAUGUUGGACAAUGGGCGAAAGCCUGAUCCAGCAAUGCCGCGUGUGUGAAGAAGGCCUUCGGGUUGUAAAGCACUUUUGUCCGGAAAGAAAUCCUUGGCUCUAAUACAGUCGGGGGAUGACGGUACCGGAAGAAUAAGCACCGGCUAACUACGUG